UACGUAGGGUGCAAGCGUUGUCCGGAAUUAUUGGGCGUAAAGAGCUCGUAGGCGGUUUGUCGCGUCUGCUGUGAAAACCCGAGGCUCAACCUCGGGCCUGCAGUGGGUACGGGCAGACUAGAGUGCGGUAGGGGAGAUUGGAAUUCCUGGUGUAGCGGUGGAAUGCGCAGAUAUCAGGAGGAACACCGGUGGCGAAGGCGGGUCUCUGGGCCGAUACUGACGCUGAGGAGCGAAAGCGUGGGGAGCGAUCAGG
This 253-nucleotide ribosomal RNA is filed under the name uncultured bacterium. RNAcentral's name for it is "partial 16S ribosomal RNA". It matches the Rfam family "Bacterial small subunit ribosomal RNA", at positions 524 to 776 of the family's 1533-position model. The record is from RNAcentral.